GACGAACGCUGGCGGCGUGCCUAAUACAUGCAAGUGGGACGCAAGGAAACACACUGUGCUUGCACACCGUGUUUUCUUGAGUCGCGAACGGGUGAGUAACGCGUAGGUAACCUGCCUAUUAGCGGGGGAUAACUAUUGGAAACGAUAGCUAAUACCGCAUAAUAUUAAUUAUUGCAUGAUAAUUGAUUGAAAGAUGCAAGCGCAUCACUAGUAGAUGGACCUGCGUUGUAUUAGCUAGUUGGUAAGGUAAGAGCUUACCAAGGCGAAGAUACAUAGCCGACCUGAGAGGGUGAUCGGCCACACUGGGACUGGGACACGGCCCAGACUCCUACGGGGGGCAGCAGUAGGGAAUCUUCGGCAAUGGACGAAAGUCUGACCGAGCAACGCCGCGUGAGUGAAGAAGGUUUUCGGAUCGUAAAGCUCUGUUGUAAGUCAAGAACGUGUGUGAGAGUGGAAAGUUCACACAGUGACGGUAGCUUACCAGAAAGGGACGGCUAACUACGUG
This 505-nucleotide ribosomal RNA is filed under the name uncultured bacterium. Its description in RNAcentral is "partial 16S ribosomal RNA". It matches the Rfam family "Bacterial small subunit ribosomal RNA", at positions 28 to 507 of the family's 1533-position model. The record is from RNAcentral.